UACGUAGGGGGCAAGCGUUGUCCGGAAUCAUUGGGCGUAAAGAGCGUGUAGGCGGCCAGAAAAGUCCGCUGUGAAAACUCGAGGCUCAACUUCGAGCUGUCGGUGGAAACUUUCUGGCUAGAGUCCGGAAGAGGAGAAUGGAAUUCCGGGUGUAGCGGUGAAAUGCGUAGAUAUCCGGAGGAACACCGGUGGCGAAGGCGGCUUCCUGGACCGACACUGACGCUGAGGCGCGAAAGCUAGGGGAGCAAACGGG
This 253-nucleotide ribosomal RNA is filed under the name uncultured bacterium. RNAcentral describes it as "partial 16S ribosomal RNA". It matches the Rfam family "Bacterial small subunit ribosomal RNA", at positions 524 to 776 of the family's 1533-position model. The record is from RNAcentral.